CGUGCUUAACACAUGCAAGUCGAACGAGGCAGCGGCCUUCGGGCCGUUGUCGAGUGGCGAACGGGUGAGUAACACGUGAGGAACCUGCCCCGGAGAUCGGGAUAACCAGGGGAAACCCUGGCUAAUACCGGAUACCCCCGGAUGGUCGCAUGGCCAACCGAGGAAACGCUCUGGUGCUCCGGGAGGGCCUCGCGGCCUAUCAGCUUGUUGGCGGGGUAACGGCCCACCAAGGCAUUGACGGGUAGCUGGUCUGAGAGGACGAUCAGCCACACUGGGACUGAGACACGGCCCAGACUCCUACGGGAGGCAGCAGUGGGGAAUAUUGCGCAAUGGGCGAAAGCCUGACGCAGCAACGCCGCGUGGGGGAUGACGGCCUUCGGGUUGUAAACCCCUUUCAGCAGGGACGAAAAUGACGGUACCUGCAGAAGAAGCCCCGGCCAACUACGUGCCAGCAGCCGCGGUAACACGUAGGGGGCAAGCGUUGUCCGGAUUUAUUGGGCGUAAAGAGCUCGUAGGCGGUUGCGUAAGUCGGAUGUGAAAACUCAGGGCUCAACCCGGAGACGCCAUUCGAUACUGCGCUGACUAGAGUCCGGUAGGGGAGCAUGGAAUUCCUGGUGUAGCGGUGAAAUGCGCAGAUAUCAGGAGGAACACCAGUAGCGAAGGCGGUGCUCUGGGCCGGUACUGACGCUGAGGAGCGAAAGCGUG
This 705-nucleotide ribosomal RNA is filed under the name uncultured sponge symbiont. RNAcentral describes it as "bacterial SSU rRNA". It matches the Rfam family "Bacterial small subunit ribosomal RNA", at positions 43 to 763 of the family's 1533-position model. The record is from RNAcentral.